CCUCCUCCCGUGCCAAGGUGGGCUUAAAAAAAUCCGUGAUCAGAGCUUGUCUACCUCGAUCGGGAGGCCAGCCCCCUUUUGGGUCAUGACUGGCAUCAAGUGACCUUAGUCGCCUCCCCAGAGUUUCUCUCCCCUCCCAUUCUUUUCCCAGAAGAUGUCCCUCAGAAGGAAGGAAAUAUCCUCAUCAACUCCUUCAGAAUUAAAGAUGUCUUCAUAAAAAACAGCAACCUCCUUGUAGAUUUUUCCUCCGAAUUAGUCCGUUAUCCAUUCUAUUUCUUCAGUCUUAGAAUACGAUUAUGCUUUCUCCGCUGAAGGGUAGAUGCAUGAAAGAAAGUGGUAUUUUGGUCACCUCCAUUAAGUCAAGCCAUGCGCGAUUUCUGACCAAAAACUCCUCCUCGCAGGCAAGGGCAGUAUCCAACUCUCAAGCAAUUUCGUUUUCCAGAACUUGGGUGUUUGAUCCUGGAGGUUUCCAGAGCAUCCCUGCAAGAAGCUAACUUGAUGUGGAGAAGAGCGACUGGAGGAGCCAGGUGAUUCUCUGACCAAGAGGAUUCUACAACUGAAGAGCAAGGUGGGUCAUGAAGCCACAUAGACUGGAAUCUAAAGGGGCGAGGGCCGCUACUAACCUUUGCAUCGGCAUCCAAGACAAGGGGGGAAUGGUCAGUGCCAAUGGCAGCACACACGAAGACUGCCGCUUCAGGGAAUUGGCGAUUCCAGGGGAUAUUAGAGAAGGAUCUGUCGAGCCUAAUUCAAAUAUUAGCAAGGCCGAAACGCUUGUUAAUCCAAGUAAAAACAAGUCCCUGGGACCCUAAAUUAGAGAGGGAGCAAGUGUCGACCAUAUUUCAGAAUCGGGCAAUAUCCCUACCCCCUUUGCAGUUACCUCCGGCUUUCUCCCGCCAGUCCAAAAGGGAAUUAAAGUCCCCCAUAUAGAUCCAACCAUUAGAUCUGGAUUGGCUUAAUUGUAUCAGGACGUCCCAACCUUUUGACUUGACGCUGAGAUGCAACUGGGUCGCCACAAACACAUAAAAGGUGGAAAAGAUCAACAUGGGGCGCCGAAAUCCAGUAAUCAAUGAUAUGCUUAUCAGAGAACCUAACAUCGACAGAGCCAACUGGGUUAACCGUAAAGAAAUUUGUCAUUUGAAGAUGACGCUGAAGCUUUGAAAUUGGCCUGCUAUUAGCUCUGGUCUCCAUAAGGAAAACGAAAUCCAAGGCUUCACUCUUAGAGAGAUUUUUAAGUGCCUGAACUGUCAGGGGUCUCCCCAGUCCCCUGCAGUUCCAGCUUAGUAGCUUCAUCUUUGCCUGUGGAGCUGGCCCGCAGCCUCCACGGGGACCAUCGCUAAAAAAUGUUCCUCCAUAUCUUCGUUUUCUGAUUGAGCCGAUUGAGAUGAGCCUGUAUAGCGUCUUCUUCUCUUCGCUCUUAGUCAUCUUUUACUGUAAUUCUAAAGAUUGGGUUUUCUGAAAUUAAGCUUGAGUUCAUCUUUUUCUUGAAUUUCAGAGAUUGGAUCUUCUGAAAUUACGCUUUGUACACCUUUAUUUGUAUUAAGGCCACCCCUGCAUCGGUGCUUAUAGGAACGGGACUCUUGUUA
Long non-coding RNA from Macadamia integrifolia, 1583 nucleotides. RefSeq lists it as uncharacterized. The transcript has 2 exons. The record is from RefSeq and is a predicted model, not a curated record. Lineage: Eukaryota; Viridiplantae; Streptophyta; Magnoliopsida; Proteales; Proteaceae.